This 840-nucleotide ribosomal RNA is filed under the name uncultured archaeon. Its description in RNAcentral is "bacterial SSU rRNA". It matches the Rfam family "Archaeal small subunit ribosomal RNA", at positions 79 to 922 of the family's 1478-position model. The record is from RNAcentral.
UGGCACACGGCUCAGUAACACGUAGUCAACAUAACCAGAGGACGUGGAUAAACUCGGGAAACUGAGGCUAAACCGCGAUAGACCAAGAUACCUGGAAUGGUUUUUGAUCAAAAUCUAUAUGGCCUUUGGAUUGGACUGCGACCGAUCAGGCUGUUGGUGAGGUAAUGGCCCACCAAACCUGUAACCGGUACGGGCUCUGAGAGGAGGAGCCCGGAGAUGGGUACUGAGAAAAGGACCCAGGCCCUAUGGGGCGCAGCAGGCGCGAAACCUCUGCAAUAGGCGAAAGCCUGACAGGGUUACUCUGAGUGACUUUCGCUAAGAAAGUCUUUUGACACCUCUAAAAAUGGUGUAGAAUAAGGGGUGGGCAAGUCUGGUGUCAGCCGCCGCGGUAAUACCAGCACCCCGAGUGGUCGGGACGAUUAUUGGGCCUAAAGCAUCCGUAGCCGGUUUUACAAGUCCUCCGUUAAAUCCAACUGCUUAACAGAUGGGCCGCGGAGGAUACUAUAAGACUAGGAGGCAGGAGAGGCAAGCGGUACUCAGUGGGUAGGGGUAAAAUCCGUUGAUCCAUUGAAGACCACCAGUGGCGAAGGCGGCUUGCCAGAAUGCGCUCGACGGUGAGGGAUGAAAGCUGGGGGAGCAAACCGGAUUAGAUACCCGGGUAGUCCCAGCUGUAAACGAUGCAGACUCGGUGAUGGGUUGGCUUCGAGCCAACCCAGUGCCGCAGGGAAGCCGUUAAGUCUGCCGCCUGGGGAGUACGGUCGCAAGACUGAAACUUAAAGGAAUUGGCGGGGGAGCACCACAAGGGGUGAAGCCUGCGGUUCAAUUGGAUUCAACGCCGGA